RNAcentral lists this ribosomal RNA (871 nucleotides) under Klebsiella pneumoniae. RNAcentral's name for it is "bacterial SSU rRNA". It matches the Rfam family "Bacterial small subunit ribosomal RNA", at positions 8 to 870 of the family's 1533-position model. Lineage: Bacteria; Pseudomonadati; Pseudomonadota; Gammaproteobacteria; Enterobacterales; Enterobacteriaceae. The record is from RNAcentral.
AGAGUUUGAUCAUGGCUCAGAUUGAACGCUGGCGGCAGGCCUAACACAUGCAAGUCGAGCGGUAGCACAGAGAGCUUGCUCUCGGGUGACGAGCGGCGGACGGGUGAGUAAUGUCUGGGAAACUGCCUGAUGGAGGGGGAUAACUACUGGAAACGGUAGCUAAUACCGCAUAAUGUCGCAAGACCAAAGUGGGGGACCUUCGGGCCUCAUGCCAUCAGAUGUGCCCAGAUGGGAUUAGCUAGUAGGUGGGGUAACGGCUCACCUAGGCGACGAUCCCUAGCUGGUCUGAGAGGAUGACCAGCCACACUGGAACUGAGACACGGUCCAGACUCCUACGGGAGGCAGCAGUGGGGAAUAUUGCACAAUGGGCGCAAGCCUGAUGCAGCCAUGCCGCGUGUGUGAAGAAGGCCUUCGGGUUGUAAAGCACUUUCAGCGGGGAGGAAGGCGUUAAGGUUAAUAACCUUGGCGAUUGACGUUACCCGCAGAAGAAGCACCGGCUAACUCCGUGCCAGCAGCCGCGGUAAUACGGAGGGUGCAAGCGUUAAUCGGAAUUACUGGGCGUAAAGCGCACGCAGGCGGUCUGUCAAGUCGGAUGUGAAAUCCCCGGGCUCAACCUGGGAACUGCAUUCGAAACUGGCAGGCUAGAGUCUUGUAGAGGGGGGUAGAAUUCCAGGUGUAGCGGUGAAAUGCGUAGAGAUCUGGAGGAAUACCGGUGGCGAAGGCGGCCCCCUGGACAAAGACUGACGCUCAGGUGCGAAAGCGUGGGGAGCAAACAGGAUUAGAUACCCUGGUAGUCCACGCCGUAAACGAUGUCGAUUUGGAGGUUGUGCCCUUGAGGCGUGGCUUCCGGAGCUAACGCGUUAAAUCGACC